AGUGGGAUAGCUGGGUCAAAUGGUGAUUCCAUUUCAAGUUCUGGAAGGAUUUCCAUACUGCUUUCCAGAUUGGUUGCACCAAUUUGCUAUCCCACCAGAAAU
RNAcentral lists this microRNA precursor (102 nucleotides) under Marmota monax (woodchuck). The record is from RNAcentral. Lineage: Eukaryota; Metazoa; Chordata; Mammalia; Rodentia; Sciuridae.